GUAGGGUGCGAGCGUUUCCGGAAUNACUGGGCGUAAAGAGCUCGUAGGUGGUUUGUCGCGUUGUUCGUGAAAACUCACAGCUUAACUGUGGGCGUGCGGGCGAUACGGGCAGACUGGAGUACUGCAGGGGAGACUGGAAUUCCUGGUGUAGCGGUGGAAUGCGCAGAUAUCAGGAGGAACACCGGUGGCGAAGGCGGGUCUCUGGGCAGUAACUGACGCUGAGGAGCGAAAGCGUGGGGAGCGAACAGGAUUAGAUACCCUGGUAGUCCACGCCGUAAACGGUGGGUACUAGGUGUGGGUUUCCUUCCUUGGGAUCCGUGCCGUAGCUAACGCAUUAAGUACCCCGCCUGGGGAGUACGGCCGCAAGGCUAAAACUCAAAGGAAUUGACGGGGGCCCGCACAAGCGGCGGAGCAUGUGGAUUAAUUCGAUGCAACGCGAAGAACCUUACCUGGGUUUGACAUGCACAGGACGCCGGUAGAGAUAUCGGUUCCCUUGUGGUCUGUGUGCAGGUGGUGCAUG
Molecule: ribosomal RNA, 520 nt
Filed under: uncultured organism
Description: SSU rRNA
Rfam family: Bacterial small subunit ribosomal RNA
Source: RNAcentral